RNAcentral lists this ribosomal RNA (450 nucleotides) under uncultured bacterium. RNAcentral describes it as "partial 16S ribosomal RNA". It matches the Rfam family "Bacterial small subunit ribosomal RNA", at positions 354 to 796 of the family's 1533-position model. The record is from RNAcentral.
GUGGGGAAUCUUCCACAAUGGACGAAAGUCUGAUGGAGCAACGCCGCGUGAGUGAAGAAGGGUUUCGGCUCGUAAAGCUCUGUUGUCGGGGACGAAUGUGCAGUAUUUGAAUAAAGUAUUGCAAUGACGGUACCUGACGAGGAAGCCACGGCUAACUACGUGCCAGCAGCCGCGGUAAUACGUAGGUGGCAAGCGUUGUCCGGAAUUAUUGGGCGUAAAGGGAGCGCAGGCGGGAAGGUAAGUCGGUCUUAAAAGUGCGGGGCUCAACCCCGUGAUGGGAUCGAAACUAUCUUUCUUGAGUGCAGGAGAGGAAAGUGGAAUUCCUAGUGUAGCGGUGAAAUGCGUAGAUAUUAGGAGGAACACCAGUGGCGAAGGCGACUUUCUGGACUGUAACUGACGCUGAGGCUCGAAAGCCAGGGGAGCGAACGGGAUUAGAUACCCUAGUAGUCC